CGGAGGGGCAAGCGUUGUUCGGAAUCAUUGGGCGUAAAGGGCGCGUAGGUGGCCAAACAAGUCGGGUGUGAAAUCCCUCGGCUCAACCGAGGAACUGCAUUCGAUACUGUUCGGCUAGAGUCCGGGAGGGAUGGUGGAAUUCCCAGUGUAGCGGUGAAAUGCGUAGAUAUUGGGAAGAACACCGGUGGCGAAGGCGGCCAUCUGGACCGGCACUGACACUGAGGCGCGAAAGCCAGGGGAGCGAAUGGGAUUAGAUACCCCGGUAGUCCUGGCUGUAAACGAUGGGCACUUGAUGUGGCGGGUACUGACCCCCGCCGUGUCGAAGCUAACGCGUUAAGUGCCCCGCCUGGGGAGUACGGUCGCAAGGCUG
This 370-nucleotide ribosomal RNA is filed under the name uncultured organism. Its description in RNAcentral is "bacterial SSU rRNA". It matches the Rfam family "Bacterial small subunit ribosomal RNA", at positions 527 to 896 of the family's 1533-position model. The record is from RNAcentral.